This 28-nucleotide non-coding RNA is filed under the name Rattus norvegicus (Norway rat). The record is from RNAcentral. Lineage: Eukaryota; Metazoa; Chordata; Mammalia; Rodentia; Muridae.
UGAACGGAUCUGUGUUCCUCCAAUGCCA